RNAcentral lists this ribosomal RNA (1567 nucleotides) under Salmonella enterica. Its description in RNAcentral is "bacterial LSU rRNA". It matches the Rfam family "Bacterial large subunit ribosomal RNA", at positions 1271 to 2823 of the family's 2925-position model. Lineage: Bacteria; Pseudomonadati; Pseudomonadota; Gammaproteobacteria; Enterobacterales; Enterobacteriaceae. RNAcentral also lists the same sequence under 1 other name. The record is from RNAcentral.
UGCUGGAGGUAUCAGAAGUGCGAAUGCUGACAUAAGUAACGAUAAAGCGGGUGAAAAGCCCGCUCGCCGGAAGACCAAGGGUUCCUGUCCAACGUUAAUCGGGGCAGGGUGAGUCGACCCCUAAGGCGAGGCCGAAAGGCGUAGUCGAUGGGAAACGGGUUAAUAUUCCCGUACUUGGUGUUACUGCGAAGGGGGGACGGAGAAGGCUAUGUUGGCCGGGCGACGGUUGUCCCGGUUUAAGCGUGUAGGCUGGUUUUCCAGGCAAAUCCGGAAAAUCAAGGCUGAGGCGUGACGACGAGGCACUACGGUGCUGAAGCAACAAAUGCCCUGCUUCCAGGAAAAGCCUCUAAGCAUCAGGUAACAUCAAAUCGUACCCCAAACCGACACAGGUGGUCAGGUAGAGAAUACCAAGGCGCUUGAGAGAACUCGGGUGAAGGAACUAGGCAAAAUGGUGCCGUAACUUCGGGAGAAGGCACGCUGACACGUAGGUGAAGUGAUUUACUCAUGGAGCUGAAGUCAGUCGAAGAUACCAGCUGGCUGCAACUGUUUAUUAAAAACACAGCACUGUGCAAACACGAAAGUGGACGUAUACGGUGUGACGCCUGCCCGGUGCCGGAAGGUUAAUUGAUGGGGUCAGCGCAAGCGAAGCUCCUGAUCGAAGCCCCGGUAAACGGCGGCCGUAACUAUAACGGUCCUAAGGUAGCGAAAUUCCUUGUCGGGUAAGUUCCGACCUGCACGAAUGGCGUAAUGAUGGCCAGGCUGUCUCCACCCGAGACUCAGUGAAAUUGAACUCGCUGUGAAGAUGCAGUGUACCCGCGGCAAGACGGAAAGACCCCGUGAACCUUUACUAUAGCUUGACACUGAACAUUGAGCCUUGAUGUGUAGGAUAGGUGGGAGGCUUUGAAGUGUGGACGCCAGUCUGCAUGGAGCCGACCUUGAAAUACCACCCUUUAAUGUUUGAUGUUCUAACGUGGACCCGUUACCCGGGUUGCGGACAGUGUCUGGUGGGUAGUUUGACUGGGGCGGUCUCCUCCUAAAGAGUAACGGAGGAGCACGAAGGUUGGCUAAUCCUGGUCGGACAUCAGGAGGUUAGUGCAAUGGCAUAAGCCAGCUUGACUGCGAGCGUGACGGCGCGAGCAGGUGCGAAAGCAGGUCAUAGUGAUCCGGUGGUUCUGAAUGGAAGGGCCAUCGCUCAACGGAUAAAAGGUACUCCGGGGAUAACAGGCUGAUACCGCCCAAGAGUUCAUAUCGACGGCGGUGUUUGGCACCUCGAUGUCGGCUCAUCACAUCCUGGGGCUGAAGUAGGUCCCAAGGGUAUGGCUGUUCGCCAUUUAAAGUGGUACGCGAGCUGGGUUUAGAACGUCGUGAGACAGUUCGGUCCCUAUCUGCCGUGGGCGCUGGAGAACUGAGGGGGGCUGCUCCUAGUACGAGAGGACCGGAGUGGACGCAUCACUGGUGUUCGGGUUGUCAUGCCAAUGGCACUGCCCGGUAGCUAAAUGCGGAAGAGAUAAGUGCUGAAAGCAUCUAAGCACGAAACUUGCCCCGAGAUGAGUUCUCCCUGAGACUU